CCCGCGGCGCCCCGGCCCCGAGCUCCUCCAUUUAAUCGGAUUUGGGAGAAGGGGAGGAUAAAUCACGGCAGCAGCUUUACGGUCCCGGAGGAGAGGCGAGCCGCAGCCAGGCACACCCCGGCCGGCGAUAAAAACCGCCGCUGAAAGCCCACGGAGCAAUUUCCCGGGACCCCGAGCGACGCCAUUACAGGAAUGUAAUUUUGCCCGGAUGAGGCCCCGAGUUUAAUUAUCCUCGCGGAGGAAUUUCAAUGCGGCCAAUCCAUCUUGCAGGCGGGCGGCAGAGGGAUUUAUAUGGGCCCGUUAUUUCACACCGAUCCUCCAUCUGCAUUUUUAUGGCCCUGAGCUUCUGAAAGGGAGGGGAAGGAGUAGGGAGAAAUCGGAGAAGCGGGCGAGGAGGAGAAGAGUGGGAGACUUCCCGCCUUUCCUAAAUCUAAGAUUCCAGCUCGAGAAUGAAGAUUCUCACUGGUUCCCCUGAAAUGCCCAGAUCUCUCUCCAGUUCCAGUUGUUGACUCAGGGUGAGGUUGUGGGUAGGUGAGAAAUGGAACUGGUAUCCUUGGGAAUCACUCAACAGGUCUACCAAGCGGUGCCAGACACAGGCCAUCUCCGGGACCUCAUUUCUGCCUAGCAACAUCACAACCAAUCAAGAUGCAACUAGGCCUGGCAGUUCGGCUCAUCCUUCACUGGGAUUGGCUGCUGGCGGUGAGCGCAUCCUAAGUUUUCAUUGGCUGACGGCCACCUGUAUGGAAAUGAGAAUGACAGGGGACUCUCAGCGCCUUCUCUGCUACGUGGACCUGUGGCUUACUGCACUGAAACCUGCAAGCUCAGAGCCAGAACUCCUGGGCUUUUUUCUGCCUUCUCUCCU
Molecule: long non-coding RNA, 862 nt
Filed under: Bos grunniens (domestic yak)
Lineage: Eukaryota; Metazoa; Chordata; Mammalia; Artiodactyla; Bovidae
Description: lncRNA (ENSBGRG00000003638.1)
Source: RNAcentral